RNAcentral lists this ribosomal RNA (1302 nucleotides) under Clostridioides difficile DA00244. RNAcentral describes it as "bacterial LSU rRNA". It matches the Rfam family "Bacterial large subunit ribosomal RNA", at positions 1607 to 2925 of the family's 2925-position model. Lineage: Bacteria; Bacillati; Bacillota; Clostridia; Peptostreptococcales; Peptostreptococcaceae. The record is from RNAcentral.
GUCAAGAAAAGUCUCUAUCGAGGUUAAAGGUACCCGUACCGCAAACCGACACAGGUGGGUGAGGAGAGUAUCCUAAGGCCAGCGAGAGAACUGUUGUUAAGGAACUCGGCAAAAUGACCCCGUAACUUAGGGAUAAGGGGUGCCACCAUCAGGUGGCCGCAGAGAAUAGGCCCAAGCGACUGUUUACCAAAAACAUAGGUUUCUGCUAAGUCGCAAGACGAUGUAUAGGAGCUGACGCCUGCCCGGUGCUGGAAGGUUAAGGGGAUCUGUUAGAGCAAUCGAAGCAGUGAACUUAAGCCCCAGUAAACGGCGGCCGUAACUAUAACGGUCCUAAGGUAGCGAAAUUCCUUGUCGGGUAAGUUCCGACCCGCACGAAAGGCGUAACGAUUUGGGCACUGUCUCAACAACAGACUCGGUGAAAUUGUAAUUCCGGUGAAGAUGCCGGAUACCUGCGACAGGACGGAAAGACCCCAUGGAGCUUUACUGUAGCUUGACAUUGGGUCUUGGUACUACAUGUACAGGAUAGGUGGGAGGCUUUGAAACCAGGACGCCAGUUUUGGCGGAGCCAUCCUUGGGAUACCACCCUUGUAGUACUGGGACUCUAACCAUAGGCCAUGAAUCUGGUCUUGGGACACUGUCAGGUGGGCAGUUUGACUGGGGCGGUCGCCUCCCAAAAGGUAACGGAGGCGCUCAAAGGUUCUCUCAGUACGGUCGGAAAUCGUACGUAGAGUGUAAAGGCAAAAGAGAGCUUGAUUGCAAGACAUACAGGUCGAGCAAGGAUGAAAAUCGGACUUAGUGAUCCGGUGGUUCUGCGUGGAAGGGCCAUCGCUCAACGGAUAAAAGCUACCCUGGGGAUAACAGGCUUAUCUCCCCCAAGAGUCCACAUCGACGGGGAGGUUUGGCACCUCGAUGUCGGCUCAUCACAUCCUGGGGCUGUAGUAGGUCCCAAGGGUUGGGCUGUUCGCCCAUUAAAGUGGUACGCGAGCUGGGUUCAGAACGUCGUGAGACAGUUCGGUCCCUAUCCGUCGCAGGCGUAGGAAAUUUGAGAAGACCUGUCCUUAGUACGAGAGGACCGGGAUGGACGUACCUCUGGUGUACCAGUUGUCCUGCCAAGGGCAUGGCUGGGUAGCUAUGUACGGAAUGGAUAAGCGCUGAAAGCAUCUAAGCGCGAAGCCAACUUCAAGAUAAGAUUUCCCACCGCAAGGGUAAGACCCCAGAAAGACUAUCUGGUUGAUAGGUCGAAGGUGUAAGUGCAGCAAUGUAUUUAGCUUAUCGAUACUAAUAGGUCGAGGACUUGACCAA